This 440-nucleotide ribosomal RNA is filed under the name uncultured bacterium. RNAcentral's name for it is "partial 16S ribosomal RNA". It matches the Rfam family "Bacterial small subunit ribosomal RNA", at positions 338 to 795 of the family's 1533-position model. The record is from RNAcentral.
CCUACGGGAGGCUGCAGUGGGGGAUAUUGCACAAUGGGGGGAACCCUGAUGCAGCGACGCCGCGUGGGUGAAGAAGCGCCUCGGCGCGUAAAGCCCUGUCAGCAGGGAAGAAAAUGACGGUACCUGAAGAAGAAGCCCAGGCUAACUACGUUACAGCAGCCGCGGGAAUACGUAGGGGGCAAGCGUUAUCCGGAUUUACUGGGGGUAAAGGGGGCGCAGACGGGGGUGCAAGCCAGGAGUUAAAGCCCGGGGCCCAACCCCGGGACGGCGCUUGAAACUGCGUGGCUGGAGUGCAGGAGGGGCAGGCGGAAUGCCUGGUGUAGCGGUGAAAUGCGUAGAUAUCAGGAGGAACACCGGUGGCGAAGGCGGCCUGCUGGACUGCAACUGACGUUGAGGCCCGAAAGCGUGGGGAGCAAACAGGAUUAGAUACCCUAGUAGUC